This 484-nucleotide ribosomal RNA is filed under the name uncultured bacterium. Its description in RNAcentral is "partial 16S ribosomal RNA". It matches the Rfam family "Bacterial small subunit ribosomal RNA", at positions 30 to 507 of the family's 1533-position model. The record is from RNAcentral.
AUUGAACGCUGGCGGCAGGCCUAACACAUGCAAGUCGAGCGGAUGAAGGGAGCUUGCUCCUGGAUUCAGCGGCGGACGGGUGAGUAAUGCCUAGGAAUCUGCCUGGUAGUGGGGGAUAACGUCCGGAAACGGGCGCUAAUACCGCAUACGUCCUGAGGGAGAAAGUGGGGGAUCUUCGGACCUCACGCUAUCAGAUGAGCCUAGGUCGGAUUAGCUAGUUGGUGGGGUAAAGGCCUACCAAGGGGACGAUCCGUAACUGGUCUGAGAGGAUGAUCAGUCACACUGGAACUGAGACACGGUCCAGACUCCUACGGGAGGCAGCAGUGGGGAAUAUUAGACAAUGGGCGAAAGCCUGAUCCAGCCAUGCCGCGUGUGUGAAGAAGGUCUUCGGAUUGUAAAGCACUUUAAGUUGGGAGGAAGGGCAGUAAGUUAAUACCUUGCUGUUUUGACGUUACCAACAGAAUAAGCACCGGCUAACUUCGUG